GCAAGUCGAGCGAGAAGCUCCCUUCGGGGAGUGGACAGCGGCGAAAGGGAGAGUAACGCGUAGAUACCUACCUUCGGGUUCGGGAUAGCGGGGGGAAACCGCCGGUAAUACUGAAUAAUGUCUCCGGACCAAAGAUUUAUUGCCCGAAGAUGGGUCUGCGUCCUACUAGCUUGUUGGUGGGGUAAAGGCCUACCAAGGCUAUGAUGGGUAGCGGGCGUGAGAGCGUGACCCGUCUCACUGGGACUGAGACACUGCCCAGACACCUACGGGUGGCUGCAGUCGAGAAUCUUCCGCAAUGGACGAAAGUCUGACGGAGCGACGCCGCGUGCGGGAUGAAGGCCUUCGGGUUGUAAACCGCUGUCAGAGGGAAGGAAGGGAAACUUGACCGAACCUCAGAGGAAGCGCAGGCUAAGUUCGUGCCAGCAGCCGCGGUAACACGAACUGCGCGAACGUUAUUCGGAAUCACUGGGCUUAAAGAGUUCGUAGGCGGCUUGGUAAGUCGGGUGUGAAAUCCCUCGGCCUAACCGAGGAACUGCGCCCGAAACUGGUUGCCUUGAGGGCAGGAGGGGAACGUGGAAUUCCUGGUGGAGCGGUGAAAUGCGUUGAUAUCAGGAGGAACACCGGCGGCGAAGGCGACGUUCUGGCCUGCUUCUGACGCUGAGGUGCGAAAGCCAGGGGAGCAAACGGGAUUAGAUACCCUGGUA
Molecule: ribosomal RNA, 704 nt
Filed under: uncultured bacterium
Lineage: Bacteria
Description: bacterial SSU rRNA
Rfam family: Bacterial small subunit ribosomal RNA
Source: RNAcentral